UGCAGAUUGAAAAGAGCCCGGAGCAGCAUAUAGACUGGGAUUCACCCUGAACCAUGUUUAGGCAGCGUCUUUAUUUACAAUAUUCUGAAAAGUGAAAACAUACCUCUGUGUGUGGGGGGAGCACAACAGCACAACAGUAGCACAGGACCGGAGACAUUGUUAUAAUAGAUUAAUACUCUACGAAUGAUAGAGGACCAGACAACAGCCUCUUCAGUUCAACAGGAAGUCAAUUUAACAGCAUCAUCAGUAACAUCCAACUUAAAUAAACCACAGAACAAUCAAUCAAUCAAUAACGGAAACGCCUCUCCUUGUUCACAGUAAACACAGAGGGUCAUCUAACCCUCUGGUCAUCACCCCCCUCCCUCCCUAACCUCUGACCCCUAAUACCUGACUGUCUGGUCAAGAGGUGUGUCCAGAACAUUCUGACCUGAUCCAUGGGGGUCUCAACCUUCCCUUGUAGCAACAUUUAACUGUUAAGUCACAUUGUAAAUUUCAUAGUAACAUUUAUGUAUUGAUGUAACUUCAUGGUACCACUGUGUCCCUUCAGUUCCAUUGAAGCAUAGAAUAACUCCGUUACACUGCACACAUCUAAAAACACACAAAACAACCCCAGUGAAACCCAUAGAAUAACUCCCUGUUACACUGCACACAUCUAAAAACACACAAAACAACCCCAGUGAAACCCAGUCUGCUUCUGAAAUGGCACCCUACCAGGGUCCGUAGGGCCACCGCCAUAGGGCUCUGGUUAAAAGUAGUGCACUAUAUAGGGAAUACGCCAUUUCAGAAGCAGUCCUAGUUGACCUAUACACUACUACCCUAGGCUGCUAUAGACACAAUCACAAGGUCAAACACGUUUUUACUAAUAAAAUACACAUCAAAUAGCUGCUAUUCAGGUAAAGAACAACAUGAGCUGAUAAUAAUAACAUCAUAGAGCUGCUAUUCAGGUAAAGAACAACAUGAGCUGAUAAUAAUAUAGAGCUGCUAUUCAUGUAGAGUACAACAUAGGCUGUAUUGACUAAACAUGAUAAUUUAGAAUCUUUACAGUAAGUUAACAAAAACGAUGGAGAGACGCACUCUUCCCUUCAGUAACAGAAAUAUUUGCCCCCCUCCUCCGGACCCUAUUCCCC
Molecule: long non-coding RNA, 1127 nt
Organism: Oncorhynchus tshawytscha (Chinook salmon)
Lineage: Eukaryota; Metazoa; Chordata; Actinopteri; Salmoniformes; Salmonidae
Source: Ensembl